This 253-nucleotide ribosomal RNA is filed under the name uncultured bacterium. RNAcentral describes it as "partial 16S ribosomal RNA". It matches the Rfam family "Bacterial small subunit ribosomal RNA", at positions 524 to 776 of the family's 1533-position model. The record is from RNAcentral.
UACAGAGGGUGCAAGCGUUGUUCGGAAUUAUUGGGCGUAAAGCGCGUGUAGGCGGCUUAGCAAGUCGGGCGUGAAAGCCCUCGGCUCAACCGAGGAAGUGCACCCGAAACUGCUGAGCUUGAGUGCCGGAGAGGAUGGCGGAAUUCCCCAAGUAGAGGUGAAAUUCGUAGAUAUCGGGAGGAACACCGGUGGCGAAGGCGGCCCCCUGGUUGGAUACUGACGCUGAUACGCGAAAGCGUGGGGAGCAAACAGG